UUUAAGAUGAUUGGACUCUAAAAGCUGAUGACCAAUUUUAUUUAUUUAUUUUUUAGGUUGUCACACAUUCUGAUCCAACAAUAUAUUUUUUAAAUAGAAAAAAAUCAAUCAGAGAUGAUAACAGAAACAGGCACAACAGGUGAGGACCGCUGCUGACGGAAUGCUGGGGGGAGGUCUUAAGAUAAGCUCCUCCCCCUGGCCUUUGACCAGACUUGAGUCGCAGUUCACGCGCAGAACCGUCCGUGUCUUCCCUCGCGGUUCUGGUUCCGGACGGAGAUCCCCGCGUCUCGUGGUGGGCGUGUUCUUGGCUGACAGCUCUGACUUCCGGUCCGGCUGAGCCUCCCUCAUCAUCAUCAUCUUCAUCAUGAGCGUGUACAGCGACGCGUCCUCGGAGGAGCUCGGGGACGAGCUGCAGAGUCUGGGGUGCAGAACACGCUCAGGAGCUCUACAGCCACAUCCGGGAGCAAACCCAGAAGCAUCUGGACGCCUACGCCAGGGAGGGCCUCCGCACACUCUGCAUCGCUAAGAAGGUUCUGGAGGAGGACGAGUACGAUGUGUGGAUGAAGAGGCAGCUGAUGGCAGAAAGCAGCAUUGAGAACAGAGAGGAGCUGCUGCUGGAGUCGGCUCAGAGGCUGGAGACCAACCUCACUCUGCUGGGUAGGAGAGCUGACACACACGCGCCUUCAUCUGGAACGAGUUUGGUUAUAAAUGAUGAAUAAUGGAUGUUUUAUGAUAUGUUUAUUUUGAUGUGUUUAUUGUGGUGAUAGGUUGGGGAAAGGGGGCAAUGAGGUCAGGGGUAAAUUGAUAGCUAAAAAGGCUAAAGUUGAUGGCCGAAAAUGCUUAGGUUAAUAG
Oryzias melastigma (Indian medaka) is the source of this 852-nucleotide long non-coding RNA. RefSeq lists it as uncharacterized. Lineage: Eukaryota; Metazoa; Chordata; Actinopteri; Beloniformes; Adrianichthyidae. The record is from RefSeq and is a predicted model, not a curated record. The transcript has 3 exons.